RNAcentral lists this long non-coding RNA (2561 nucleotides) under Triticum aestivum (bread wheat). RNAcentral describes it as "long non-coding RNA (TAES_LNC021089)". Lineage: Eukaryota; Viridiplantae; Streptophyta; Magnoliopsida; Poales; Poaceae. The record is from RNAcentral.
AAGGACGGACGCCGCUUCCGUUGAAGUUAGGUGAGCUUGCGAGUCCGCGACGACCUUGGUGAUUUUACUACUACUUCUACUCUAUUAGUCAUGGAAUUCAGGAGAGCUUGGGUUCGAAUAUUAUUUUCUGGGAUUUUUAUCGGGGUGUAUGCAACUGUAUAACUAUAAAUUGGCUUGCCCCUAGGUGUUCUUGGUUGGUGAUUCGGCAAUGAUUUGAAGUGGUCUGGCUUAUGAGCCGGUGGUUAGGUGGAGUCGGGUUAUUAUAGUUUCGGUACAGGAGGGGGAAAGGUGGCACAAAUAUGGGGGCAGGGCAUGUUUCUGCCUGAUUGAUACAAUCAUUUUUUUUCUUCUAGUAUCAAUCAAUCAUGCCAGCAUCUGAAACGGACUAUCAAAUCUGAAUUGGCACUGUUUUUUAUAUAUAAUGAUACCAUACAGCUCGAGAUGAACAUAUGCUUGACUGAAUAGCUGUUCAUACAUCUGGAGGUGUUACUAUGAGUACAAUUAGCAUUCAGAAAGAAAAGAAUUAUGAGUAAAAUGCAGAGAACGCACUUCCAGACUAUCAAUCAUGCAUGCCCAUAUCAUUUGCUUUGCUUAAUGUUUCUCAGUUUAACUUACUAGUCUCUUGUCUGUGUAUUUUUUGCUGCCAGAAGGGAUCCAAAUAGGUUGUAACUGGGAGUAAAAGAUGUGUCUAAACUGAUCGUCUGGUGCGAAAAUCGACGACCAAGAUCCAGUUAUGUGUAUUGCAGGACAACACCUUUCAUUAGAUACACUUUGAUGCUAUUUCUAGCAUGAUUUUCUAUUUCAGACUUAAAACUAAAUUUCUGAACAACUAAAAUCGCUCUUGUUCCUUAUUUUUUUAGGGCGGUUCCUCUCAUUUUACUGGUUCGUCCUCUCCUUCAUGAUUGAUGUACUGGUUCUGGCCGCUCCUUCGUGAUAGACUCGGUUAACUCUUUGUUAGCCUUGUGGGUCGUAAUUCUUUCUCUCCAGACGCAUAUACUGCCUAAUGUAUUGCUCAUGCUCAUUCUGUACCGAGAUAGUCCUAAUAUCCAUAGGGUUGUAGAUUGAUUUCCCCUGAAAAAGCUAUGCUUCUUUCCUUGGAUGAUAAGCAUGUUCGGCAGCUAUGUGGAAUUCUUAAGAUAAACGGUCUUUAGUAUCUUUUGGUGCAUCUGCGUGCACGUAACAGUCUGUUAGUUUCUCUUUAUAUAAUGAAAAAAAUAUGCUACUGUUGCUUGUUUAUUAUUAUCUAUCAUUUGUAGAUUUAUUUUUAGGCCACCGGUGCUUGUAUGUAUAAUUUCUAGUCUCUUGAAUGAAUAAUUUUUCUUUAUGUGUCAUGCGUCUUGUGUUACUACAUACAUCUGUCGUGAAGUACAUGGUUCCGGAACUAUGGUAACCCGUAGUUUGCUCUACCCGUGAUAGUAGGAUGAUGGAAGCAUCACUACUGAAUGUAGUUCAUGUUUCUUCAUAUAAUCAUCAUUUACUAGAGUUUCUCUUCUUCUUGCUACUGCUUGGUUUUUGACGCCACUAGCUUGUACUAAAACGUAAACACAUCAUAUUGUUUUCAUCAGACUAGGGUACCUUGAGCAUGCAAAGUAAACACAUGCUACUCCACUUGUCUAUUUGUACAUAAACUUUUUUUAAAAUAAACCGAGCUAAUAAACCAAACGGUGCGAACACAUUCAGUUCUGAAAUUUGUCUACUCCACUUAUUUGAUUGUACUAAAACCUUUGUUUGCAUGUUUCUAAAAUACAGAGAAGAACACCCUGUGUUCUGGUAAAAUAUUUGUUUGCUAUGAUAUGAAAUCCCAUGAUGUGUGUGUUGUUUCAGUUUCUGUAGCUACAACAAAGUCCCAGUUUACUCUGUACUUGCUUUUGAUGAUUGCUGGCUAAAUUUACAGUUGAAAUAAUAGUAGCCAAGGAGUAGAUACAAGACGUAUUUACCGUAUUUUGCAUGGAAUGUUAAAAAUCAGUUUUGUUGCGGUUUCUUGUUCUGUGAGUCAAAUUGCAUAAGAUGGGAGUAUCACAACAUGCAUAUACUGAAGAUGGGAGUAUCACAACCUGAAUGUGCAGCUUAUGUAGUUUCUGUAUUUUUGUUAAAGCAUGGAGUAGCUUCUAUAGUUUCUGUAUUUUUGUUAAAGCAUGGAGUAGCUUCUAUAGCUUCCUCACAAGUUAAUGCUUCGCUCGUCCGGGUGUGUGAUAAAGCCAUUUGUCUUGUGGAAUCAGAUUACAUUUCUGUUUGUUAUGGUAAUAUAAAAAUAUUCGUGCUAUCAAAAUUUUCACAGUGCGUGUCUUUCAUUUCUUUAAUUUGAUUGUUUCCCUUGUAUUCAAUAUGCUUCUAGUGGCUGAUCCUUCCAUUUUUGUUGUGGCAUCUUUAUUUUCACAGGUGUUGUGUGUUCUGGAAGAUGGAAGAGGAAGAAAUUGUUGAACUAAAUUUUCUGUAUUCUGUUUUGUUGUACGUAUCAUUUGAUAGUUUUGUAUAGGAACAAGUGAUACUAUUUUGUAGGGCUUUAUGGCCUGUGAUGUAAACAUAUUUAGUGCUGAAAUAUGAAAUUAUUUGCAAAAUUU